RNAcentral lists this ribosomal RNA (393 nucleotides) under uncultured bacterium. RNAcentral's name for it is "partial 16S ribosomal RNA". It matches the Rfam family "Bacterial small subunit ribosomal RNA", at positions 523 to 918 of the family's 1533-position model. The record is from RNAcentral.
AUACGGAGGAUGCGAGCGUUAUCCGGAUUUAUUGGGUUUAAAGGGUGCGUAGGCUGUGCGUUAAGUCAGGGGUGAAAUGCCGUCGCUCAACGACGGAGCUGCCCUUGAUACUGGCGUGCUGGAGUACGGAUGCCGUUGGAGGAAUGAGUGGUGUAGCGGUGAAAUGCUUAGAUAUCACUCAGAACUCCGAUUGCGAAGGCAUCUGACGAAUCCGUCACUGACGCUGAGGCGCGAAAGCGUGGGGAUAGAACAGGAUUAGAUACCCUGGUAUUCCACGCCGUAAACGAUGAUGACUAACCGUCGGCGAUAGACAGCCGGUGGCCAAGCGAAAGCGAUAAGUCAUCCACCUGGGGAGUACGUCGGCAACGGUGAAACUCAAAUGAAUGGACGGGG